This 497-nucleotide ribosomal RNA is filed under the name uncultured bacterium. Its description in RNAcentral is "partial 16S ribosomal RNA". It matches the Rfam family "Bacterial small subunit ribosomal RNA", at positions 28 to 507 of the family's 1533-position model. The record is from RNAcentral.
GAUGAACGCUGGCGGCGUGCCUAAUACAUGCAAGUCGAGCGAACAGACGAGGAGCUUGCUCCUCUGACGUUAGCGGCGGACGGGUGAGUAACACGUGGAUAACCUCCCUAUAAGACUGGGAUAACUUCGGGAAACCGGAGCUAAUACCGGAUAAUAUAUUGAACCGCAUGGUUCAAUAGUGAAAGACGGUUUUGCUGUCACUUAUAGAUGGAUCCGCGCCGCAUUAGCUAGUUGGUAAGGUAACGGCUUACCAAGGCGACGAUGCGUAGCCGACCUGAGCGGGUGAUCGGCCACACGGGAACUGAGACACGGUCCAGACUCCUACGGGAGGCAGCAGUAGGGAAUCUUCCGCAAUGGGCGAAAGCUUGACGGAGCAACGCCGCGUGAGUGAUGAAGGUCUUCGGAUCGUAAAACUCUGUUAUUAGGGAAGAACAAAUGUGUAAGUAACUAUGCACGUCUUGACGGUACCUAAUCAGAAAGCCACGGCUAACUACGUG